CACAUGCAAGUCGAACGAACCUUCGGGUUAGUGGCGGACGGGUGAGUAACGCGUGAGAAUCUGCCCUCAGGAGGGGGAUAACGGCUGGAAACGGCCGCUAAUACCCCAUAUGCCGAGAGGUGAAAUGAAUUUCGCCUGAGGAUGAGCUCGCGUCUGAUUAGCUAGUUGGUGGGGUAAGAGCCUACCAAGGCAUCGAUCAGUAACUGGUCUGAGAGGAUGAUCAGCCACACUGGGACUGAGACACGGCCCAGACUCCUACGGGAGGCAGCAGUGGGGAAUUUUCCGCAAUGGGCGAAAGCCUGACGGAGCAACGCCGCGUGAGGGAUGAAGGCCUCUGGGCUGUAAACCUCUUUUAUCAAGGAAGAANAUCUGACGGUACUUGAUGAAUAAGCCACGGCUAAUUCCGUGCCAGCAGCCGCGG
Molecule: ribosomal RNA, 421 nt
Filed under: uncultured bacterium
Lineage: Bacteria
Description: bacterial SSU rRNA
Rfam family: Bacterial small subunit ribosomal RNA
Source: RNAcentral